UCGGCGAUAGCGCGGCGCAGCGCGGCUCGGUUUGCAGCAUCGCGAGGAGGCGCGCGGCGAGCGCCGCGCUGUCGACGAGC
Molecule: transfer RNA, 80 nt
Filed under: Burkholderia mallei
Lineage: Bacteria; Pseudomonadati; Pseudomonadota; Betaproteobacteria; Burkholderiales; Burkholderiaceae
Description: tRNA-Cys(gca)
Source: RNAcentral